RNAcentral lists this small RNA (968 nucleotides) under Drosophila yakuba. RNAcentral describes it as "GE28456". The record is from RNAcentral. Lineage: Eukaryota; Metazoa; Arthropoda; Insecta; Diptera; Drosophilidae.
AAUCGGAAAACAGGAAAACUAAUAUUAAAUCGAAUAUAAAUAACAGAUGGAAGGUAUCACUACACUUGCCGCACAACAGUAGAUUUCAGGGGCAUAAGGAAAACAUCUGGGAGUGUGUGUGACAAAAGUGCCAGAACUAACGGGAGCUUCUAUUAAAUGUUUAUCCCAGGAAAGCUUUCCGCACCAAUUAACGCCGUUCUGAGUUAUUCAGCGUCGGCAUCAUCGUCGCCACACAAUUUCAGCUGAUAACACACAUUAAUGUAGUCACUCUUAAAUUUUGUUUACCGAAUUGAGAAAUUCUGGCAUUGACAUUUACGUAGCCAAUAAAACCAGCAUUUUGUUGAUAAAGCAUUUAUAUAUAAUCGCGUUAAGCGAAAGUGCAAGCGCAGGCUAAUUUUUUUGUAGUCGCGAAAGCCUAUAAUUACGAUUACACCACAGCUUAGCAUUCUGUCAGCAGAUAACACUCAGUUCGCUUGUUGAGUCGGAACCAUCAGUAGGGAAAGUGAACUAAGAUAUGUCGGUAUAGCCGGUGGAAUUGUCAAAAGUGGCUUUUCCCAGUAUAUCAGCUGUUUAGCCAUUUAUCUCUCUGAAUUCAUUCAGAUACUUUGUACAUAUACAUAUAAUCGCCUUAAUAGAUACUAGGUUUGUACAUAAAAGCGUGUACCAAAAAGGCAGUGGCUGUGGAAACCUCAGCGAAACCAAUUAAAGAACGUCAUAAAUAAUUGUACUGUAUUGUAAAUAUUUUGCUGUCUGUGAUGCGCAAUUGCUUUGUCAAUUAUUUUAAGUUAUAUUGAAAUUAGAUUUAAUGCUAUAUAUAAUUUAAAUAACAAAAGUAUACAAAAACACAUGACUUGCGGAAUGCUUUACUCGCCUCGUCAAUUUGUGUCGUUAUUAAUAAGUCCGCUAAUUAUUUUAAAUAAACCUGAAUAAAAGCAACAAAAACGCAUAAAUUAUCAGUUCUUCCAAAA